Molecule: ribosomal RNA, 301 nt
Filed under: uncultured bacterium
Lineage: Bacteria
Description: partial 16S ribosomal RNA
Rfam family: Bacterial small subunit ribosomal RNA
Source: RNAcentral
CAGUCGCCGCGGGAAUACGAAGGGGGCUAGCGUUGCUCGGAAUGACUGGGCGUAAAGGGCGCGUAGGCGGUUCGUACAGUCGGAUGUGAAAUUCCUGGGCUUAACCUGGGGGCUGCAUUCGAUACGUGCGGGCUUGAGUGUGGAAGAGGGUUGUGGAAUUCCCAGUGUAGAGGUGAAAUUCGUAGAUAUUGGGAAGAACACCGGUGGCGAAGGCGGCAACCUGGUCCAUGACUGACGCUGAGGCGCGAAAGCGUGGGGAGCAAACAGGAUUAGAUACCCGCGUAGUCCCUGUCUCUUAUAU